UGAAAGGUUUUUCUAAAAACCACCGAGGGAAAAAAAAUAAAAUUC
Charadrius vociferus (killdeer) is the source of this 45-nucleotide non-coding RNA. Lineage: Eukaryota; Metazoa; Chordata; Aves; Charadriiformes; Charadriidae. The record is from Rfam.